This is a long non-coding RNA of Stegostoma tigrinum, 1342 nucleotides long. RefSeq lists it as uncharacterized. The transcript is spliced from 2 exons. NCBI's taxonomy places the organism in Eukaryota, Metazoa, Chordata, Chondrichthyes, Orectolobiformes, Stegostomatidae. The record is from RefSeq and is a predicted model, not a curated record.
GUUUACAGAGAAACGGAGCACACUCCACUCUACUCGCCUGCCUCCCUCUCUUCCCAGGGCUUGAUAGGCUACAUUCAGGUCACAUCUCCCCAGCCUCCCAAAUUCUUACACAGCAACACAACGUCAAGCCAACCAACAAACAAUCCCUUUCCCAGAAAUUAUCCCACUGGCUGCGAGAUGAUGAUGAAGAAGAAGGGGAAAAAAAAAACAAUCAGCUGGUUUACAUCACCCACCAACCAUAUUUUCAACUUGCAACAAACGUCAUCUAUGCUUUCCUCGCGGGUGCAGUAUUAAUUCGAAAAGGGGCUGAGUUUUGCAAUUUUUUAAAACAUUCUGAACGGGGUCACAUUAACUUUUUUAAGAAACAAUACAAUUCUAAUUGUUCCUGAUGCUGCUUGGCCUGCUGUGUUCAUCCAGCUCUAUACCUUGUUAUCUCACAAUUCCAAUUGAACUGUUUAGUUAGUUAAAUCCUGUAUUUUUCCCUCCCUGUUCUUGAUUAACAGCACAGCGCAAUUAUCGCUUCCAUACCAGAGUUUGUUUUGUUUAUAUCCUUUUAUUUCCUUUCGUGGGUAUUUUUAAAUCGACAAGACAGGAAAAGGAAUAUGACGGGCGGUUGUCACGAGAAAGGGAGAGAACCUUUGGAGUUAUUUCGUGAGAUUUUUCCAACCUCCGCCCACCGCCCUGAAAUAAAAGCACUCAGGCGAAAGGGGAGCAUGAAGCACUGAGUAAACAAUGGUGCACACCCUGGCAGAACACCACAGAUCAUAUAUCCUCCUUCAGCACUGAAACCAGGUCUUCUUGAGCCACUCAUGGGCUCUGACUUCUGCAGCCAUACCAAUCCAGACUGCCAAUGUUGCUUGGGUUGAUCUUUUUAUUGUCAUCCAUUUGGAAAGUAAAUUCCUGUGCUUCCUGGAAAUCUUUCAGCAGAAGAACCUCUUAUGAAGGCAUCACUGAGUCAUAGUGUCACUUUAUGCCUGGUCUCUGAGAUCUCCAGGAUUGUCUGGGGCUGAUGAAGAGAAGUUGAGGAAUACACUUGCAGAAAGUGAAAUUAUGUCCAAGUGCCUUUUUAGAUAUGGAGCCUGGAUUGUCCUGGUGGGUUUCAGAAUUCCUUGCCCACAAAAUGUGGAGUUCUACCCGUGCACACACACCUAAUAGGCUGAAAAAGUAUAAUUUCAAGAGAAAAUGUGGCCCGUCCUCCCAACUGAAGCAGAAAACCCUUCCACCUUUAGGACCAUGCUCCUGCCCCAGGUGUCUGCCAUUGGAGAAGGUCUUUGUAAAAAAAAUUUCCAAAGACCAACACUGGACAUGAAACUGAAAAUAAAACCAAAAAAAUAGCAUUGAA